This 505-nucleotide ribosomal RNA is filed under the name uncultured bacterium. RNAcentral's name for it is "partial 16S ribosomal RNA". It matches the Rfam family "Bacterial small subunit ribosomal RNA", at positions 28 to 507 of the family's 1533-position model. The record is from RNAcentral.
GACGAACGCUGGCGGCGUGCCUAAUACAUGCAAGUAGAACGCACAGUUUAUACCGUAGCUUGCUACACCAUAGACUGUGAGUUGCGAACGGGUGAGUAUCGCGUAGGUAACCUGCCUGGUAGCGGGGGAUAACUAUUGGAAACGAUAGCUAAUACCGCAUAAUAUUAAUUAUUGCAUGAUAAUUAAUUGAAAGGUGCAAUUGCACCACUACCAGAUGGACCUGCGUUGUAUUAGCUAGUAGGUGAGGUAACGGCUCACCUAGGCGACGAUACAUAGCCGACCUGAGAGGGUGAUCGGCCACACUGGGACUGAGACACGGCCCAGACUCCUACGGGAGGCAGCAGUAGGGAAUCUUCGGCAAUGGACGAAAGUCUGACCGAGCAACGCCGCGUGAGUGAAGAAGGUUUUCGGAUCGUAAAGCUCUGUUGUAAGAGAAGAACGGGUGUGAGAGUGGAAAGUUCACACUGUGACGGUAUCUUACCAGAAAGGGACGGCUAACUACGUG